GCCCUGGUAGCUCAGUCAGUAAAGAAUCUGCCUGCAAAGCAGGAGACCCAGGUUCGAUUCCUGGGUGGGGAA
RNAcentral lists this transfer RNA (72 nucleotides) under Bos taurus (domestic cattle). It matches the Rfam family "tRNA". From Rfam's summary of the family: Transfer RNA (tRNA) molecules are approximately 80 nucleotides in length. Their secondary structure includes four short double-helical elements and three loops (D, anti-codon, and T loops). The record is from Rfam by way of RNAcentral. RNAcentral also lists the same sequence under 5 other names. Lineage: Eukaryota; Metazoa; Chordata; Mammalia; Artiodactyla; Bovidae.